This 795-nucleotide ribosomal RNA is filed under the name uncultured archaeon. RNAcentral describes it as "bacterial SSU rRNA". It matches the Rfam family "Archaeal small subunit ribosomal RNA", at positions 84 to 884 of the family's 1478-position model. The record is from RNAcentral.
UACUGCUCAGUAACACGUGGACAACCUACCCUGAGGAGGGGGAUAACCCCGGAAAACUGGGGAUAAUACCCCAUAGAUUAGGGAGGCUGGAAUGCCCCCUAGUUCAAAGGUCCGCCGCCUCAGGAUGGGUCUGCGGCCGAUUAGGUUGUUGUUGGGGUAACGGCCCAACAAGCCUUUGAUCGGUACGGGUUGUGGGAGCAAGAGCCCGGAGAUGGAUUCUGAGACACGAAUCCAGGCCCUACGGGGCGCAGCAGGCGCGAAAACUUUACAAUGCGAGAAAUCGUGAUAAGGGAACCCCAAGUGCCCGUAAAUUCGGGCUGUCCGCCAGUGCAAAAAACUGGUGAAGAAAGAGCCGGGCAAGACCGGUGCCAGCCGCCGCGGUAAUACCGGCGGCUCGAGUGGUGGCCACUAUUACUGGGCUUAAAGCGUCCGUAGCUUGGUUGUUAAGUCUCCUGGGAAAUCCAUCGGCUCAACCGAUGGGCGUUCAGGAGAUACUGGCAACCUAGGGACCGGGAGAGGUGAGAGGUACUCCAGGGGUAGGAGUGAAAUCCUGUAAUCCUUGGGGGACCACCUGUGGCGAAGGCGUCUCACUAGAACGGCUCCGACAGUGAGGGACGAAAGCUGGGGGAGCAAACCGGAUUAGAUACCCGGGUAGUCCCAGCUGUAAACGAUGCGCGUUAGGUGUAUCGGUGACCACGAGUCACCGAGGUGCCGAAGGGAAACCGUGAAACGUGCCGCCUGGGAAGUACGGUCGCAAGGCUGAAACUUAAAGGAAUUGGCGGGGGAGCACAAUCA